UUGAAGGUUGAGGGAGACGACUUCUAAUGUGGGGACAUUAGAAGGGACCGAAGGGACAAACUUAAAACCAUCCCAAAAGGAUUUAAGUGAAAUUCUCAGUAAAAGGACUUUAGCUGGACG
This 120-nucleotide non-coding RNA is filed under the name Paraclostridium sordellii. Its description in RNAcentral is "Paeniclostridium sordellii Glycine sequence". It matches the Rfam family "Glycine riboswitch aptamer". Rfam says of the family: This family represents the bacterial glycine riboswitch. Glycine riboswitches usually consist of two metabolite-binding aptamers domains with similar structures in tandem. The aptamers cooperatively bind glycine to regulate the expression of downstream genes. The record is from RNAcentral. Lineage: Bacteria; Bacillati; Bacillota; Clostridia; Peptostreptococcales; Peptostreptococcaceae.